RNAcentral lists this ribosomal RNA (299 nucleotides) under bacterium endosmybiont of Otiorhynchus armadillo. RNAcentral describes it as "partial 16S ribosomal RNA". It matches the Rfam family "Bacterial small subunit ribosomal RNA", at positions 25 to 336 of the family's 1533-position model. The record is from RNAcentral.
CAGAUUGAACGCUGGCGGCAUGCCUAACACAUGCAAGUCGAACGGGAGUAGCAAUACUCUAGUGGCGGACGGGUGAGGAAUACGUAGGAAUUUGCCCUUAAGUGGGGGAUAACCCGGGGAAACCCGGAUUAAUACCGCAUGAUCUCGAAAGAGCAAAGUGGGGGAUCGCAAGACCUCACGCUUUUGGAGAAGCCUACGUCGGAUUAGCUAGUUGGUGAGGUAAUGGCUCACCAAGGCGACGAUCCGUAACUGGUCUGAGAGGAUGAUCAGUCACACCGGAACUGAGACACGGUCCGGAC